This 279-nucleotide ribosomal RNA is filed under the name uncultured bacterium. RNAcentral's name for it is "partial 16S ribosomal RNA". It matches the Rfam family "Bacterial small subunit ribosomal RNA", at positions 506 to 784 of the family's 1533-position model. The record is from RNAcentral.
UGCCAGCCGCCGCGGUAAUACGUAUGUCGCAAGCGUUAUUCGGAAUCACUGGGCGUAAAGAGUUCGUAGGCGGACUAUCAAGUCAGAAGUGAAAUUUUGGGGCUUAACCCCGAAACUGCUUUUGAAACUGUUAGUCUUGAGUAUGUGAGAGGAAGAUGGAAUUCCUGGUGUAGCGGUGGAAUGCGUAGAUAUCAGGAAGAACACCGGUGGCGAAGGCGGUCUUCUGGCACAAUACUGACGCUGAGGAACGAAAGUGUGGGGAGCGAACAGGAUUAGAUA